GACGAACCGUGCGAACGUUGUUCGGAAUCACUGGGCUUAAAGGGCGCGUAGGCGGGCUAUCAAGUCCGGGGUGAAAUCCUCCCGCUCAACGGGAGAACGGCCUCGGAUACUGAUGGUCUCGAGGGGGAUAGGGGCACGCGGAACUGUGGGUGGAGCGGUGAAAUGCGUUGAUAUCCAUAGGAACUCCGGUGGCGAAAGCGGCGUGCUGGAUCCCUUCUGACGCUGAGGCGCGAAAGCCAGGGGAGCAAACGGG
Molecule: ribosomal RNA, 253 nt
Filed under: uncultured bacterium
Lineage: Bacteria
Also listed under: 1 other name
Description: partial 16S ribosomal RNA
Rfam family: Bacterial small subunit ribosomal RNA
Source: RNAcentral